CGGGGGGGGGGAGAACCAACAGGGAUUGCCCCAGUAACGGCGAGUGAAGCGGCAACAGCUCAAAUUUGAAAUCUGGCCCCCGGGUCCGAGUUGUAAUUUGCAGAGGAUGCUUUGGGCGAGGUGCCUUCCGAGUUCCCUGGAACGGGACGCCACAGAGGGUGAGAGCCCCGUCUGGUCGGACACCGAGCCCGUGUAAAGCUCCUUCGACGAGUCGAGUAGUUUGGGAAUGCUGCUCAAAAUGGGAGGUAUAUGUCUUCUAAAGCUAAAUAUUGGCCAGAGACCGAUAGCGCACAAGUAGAGUGAUCGAAAGAUGAAAAGCACUUUGAAAAGAGGGUUAAAAAGUACGUGAAAUUGUUGAAAGGGAAGCGCCUAUGACCAGACUUGGGCCCGGUGAAUCAUCCAGCGUUCUCGCUGGUGCACUUUGCCGGGCACAGGCCAGCAUCAGUUUGGCGCGGGGGACAAAGGCUUCGGGAAUGUGGCUCCCUCGGGAGUGUUAUAGCCCGCUGCGUAAUACCCUGCGCCGGACUGAGGUACGCGCAUCGCAAGGAUGCUGGCGUAAUGGUCAUCAGCGACCCGUCUUGAAACACGGACCAAGGAGUCGUCUUCGUAUGCGAGUGUUCGGGUGUCAAACCCCUACGCGGAAUGAAAGUGAACGCAGGUGAGAGCUUCGGCGCAUCAUCGACCGAUCCUGAUGUUCUCGGAUGGAUUUGAGUAAGAGCAUACGGGGCCGGACCCGAAAGAAGGUGAACUAUGCCUGUAUAGGGUGAAGCCAGAGGAAACUCUGGUGGAGGCUCGCAGCGGUUCUGACGUGCGAAUCGAUCGUCAAAUAUGGGCAUGGGGGCGAAAGACUAAUCGAACCUUCUAGUAGCUGGUUUCCGCGAGUUCCCCCCCUCUGAGAGAA
Molecule: ribosomal RNA, 901 nt
Filed under: Cordyceps cateniannulata
Lineage: Eukaryota; Fungi; Ascomycota; Sordariomycetes; Hypocreales; Cordycipitaceae
Description: partial large subunit ribosomal RNA
Rfam family: Eukaryotic large subunit ribosomal RNA
Source: RNAcentral